AUUGAACGCUGGCGGCAUGCCUAACACAUGCAAGUCGAACGGUAGCAGAUCUAGCUUGCUAGAUGCUGACGAGUGGCGGACGGGUGAGUAACACGUAGGAAUCUGCCUUGAAGUGGGGGGUAACCCGAGGAAACUCGGGCUAAUACCGCAUAUGCCCUAAGGGGUAAAGGGGCCUUGUAUUUAUACAAGGUUUCGCUUUAAGAUGAGCCUGCGGUGGAUUAGCUUGUUGGUAGGGUAAUGGCCUACCAAGGCUGUGAUCCAUAGCUGGUCUGAGAGGACGAUCAGCCACACUGGGACUGAGACACGGCCCAG
This 312-nucleotide ribosomal RNA is filed under the name uncultured bacterium. RNAcentral's name for it is "bacterial SSU rRNA". It matches the Rfam family "Bacterial small subunit ribosomal RNA", at positions 30 to 334 of the family's 1533-position model. The record is from RNAcentral.